This 291-nucleotide ribosomal RNA is filed under the name uncultured Parabacteroides sp. RNAcentral describes it as "partial 16S ribosomal RNA". It matches the Rfam family "Bacterial small subunit ribosomal RNA", at positions 386 to 674 of the family's 1533-position model. Lineage: Bacteria; Pseudomonadati; Bacteroidota; Bacteroidia; Bacteroidales; Tannerellaceae. The record is from RNAcentral.
AACCAGCCAAGUCGCGUGAAGGAAGAAGGAUCUAUGGUUUGUAAACUUCUUUUAUAGGGGAAUAAAGUGGAGGACGUGUCCUUUUUUGUAUGUACCCUAUGAAUAAGCAUCGGCUAACUCCGUGCCAGCAGCCGCGGUAAUACGGAGGAUGCGAGCGUUAUCCGGAUUUAUUGGGUUUAAAGGGUGCGUAGGUGGUGAUUUAAGUCAGCGGUGAAAGUUUGUGGCUCAACCAUAAAAUUGCCGUUGAAACUGGGUUACUUGAGUGUGUUUGAGGUAGGCGGAAUGCGUGGU